This 301-nucleotide ribosomal RNA is filed under the name uncultured bacterium. RNAcentral describes it as "partial 16S ribosomal RNA". It matches the Rfam family "Bacterial small subunit ribosomal RNA", at positions 509 to 807 of the family's 1533-position model. The record is from RNAcentral.
CAGCCGCCGCGGUAAUACGUAGGGUGCAAGCGUUGUCCGGAAUCAUUGGGCGUAAAGCGCGUGUAGGCGGCUCGGUAAGUCUGCUGUGAAAGUCCAGGGCUCAACCCUGGAAUGCCGGUGGAAACUGUCGAGCUAGAGUAUGGAAGAGGCGAGUGGAAUUCCUGGUGUAGCGGUGAAAUGCGCAGAUAUCAGGAGGAACACCAAUGGCGAAGGCAGCUCGCUGGGACGUUACUGACGCUGAGACGCGAAAGCGUGGGGAGCAAACAGGAUUAGAUACCCCGGUAGUCCCUGUCUCUUAUAC